GUUAAGCGACUAAGCGUACACGGUGGAUGCCCUGGCAGUCAGAGGCGAUGAAGGACGUGCUAAUCUGCGAUAAGCGUCGGUAAGGUGAUAUGAACCGUUAUAACCGGCGAUUUCCGAAUGGGGAAACCCAGUGUGUUUCGACACACUAUCAUUAACUGAAUCCAUAGGUUAAUGAGGCGAACCGGGGGAACUGAAACAUCUAAGUACCCCGAGGAAAAGAAAUCAACCGAGAUUCCCCCAGUAGCGGCGAGCGAACGGGGAGCAGCCCAGAGCCUGAAUCAGUGUGUGUGUUAGUGGAAGCGUCUGGAAAGGCGCGCGAUACAGGGUGACAGCCCCGUACACAAAAAUGCACAUGCUGUGAGCUCGAUGAGUAGGGCGGGACACGUGGUAUCCUGUCUGAAUAUGGGGGGACCAUCCUCCAAGGCUAAAUACUCCUGACUGACCGAUAGUGAACCAGUACCGUGAGGGAAAGGCGAAAAGAACCCCGGCGAGGGGAGUGAAAAAGAACCUGAAACCGUGUACGUACAAGCAGUGGGAGCACGCUUAGGCGUGUGACUGCGUACCUUUUGUAUAAUGGGUCAGCGACUUAUAUUCUGUAGCAAGGUUAACCGAAUAGGGGAGCCGAAGGGAAACCGAGUCUUAACUGGGCGUUAAGUUGCAGGGUAUAGACCCGAAACCCGGUGAUCUAGCCAUGGGCAGGUUGAAGGUUGGGUAACACUAACUGGAGGACCGAACCGACUAAUGUUGAAAAAUUAGCGGAUGACUUGUGGCUGGGGGUGAAAGGCCAAUCAAACCGGGAGAUAGCUGGUUCUCCCCGAAAGCUAUUUAGGUAGCGCCUCGUGAAUUCAUCUCCGGGGGUAG
This 861-nucleotide ribosomal RNA is filed under the name Escherichia coli. RNAcentral's name for it is "partial 23S ribosomal RNA". It matches the Rfam family "Bacterial large subunit ribosomal RNA", at positions 1 to 905 of the family's 2925-position model. The record is from RNAcentral. Lineage: Bacteria; Pseudomonadati; Pseudomonadota; Gammaproteobacteria; Enterobacterales; Enterobacteriaceae.